UACGUAGGGCGCAAGCGUUAUCCGGAAUUAUUGGGCGUAAAGAGCUCGUAGGCGGUUUGUCGCGUCUGCCGUGAAAGUCCGGGGCUCAACUCCGGAUCUGCGGUGGGUACGGGCAGACUAGAGUGAUGUAGGGGAGACUGGAAUUCCUGGUGUAGCGGUGAAAUGCGCAGAUAUCAGGAGGAACACCGAUGGCGAAGGCAGGUCUCUGGGCACUAACCGACGCUGAGGAGCGAAAGCAUGGGGAGCGAACAGG
This 253-nucleotide ribosomal RNA is filed under the name uncultured bacterium. Its description in RNAcentral is "partial 16S ribosomal RNA". It matches the Rfam family "Bacterial small subunit ribosomal RNA", at positions 524 to 776 of the family's 1533-position model. The record is from RNAcentral.